This 30-nucleotide small RNA is filed under the name Bombyx mori (domestic silkworm). RNAcentral's name for it is "ovarian small RNA-25347". The record is from RNAcentral. Lineage: Eukaryota; Metazoa; Arthropoda; Insecta; Lepidoptera; Bombycidae.
UCACUAAAAACUGCCGCUCACAGCCGGCGC